This 320-nucleotide long non-coding RNA is filed under the name Homo sapiens (human). RNAcentral's name for it is "HSALNT0240122". Lineage: Eukaryota; Metazoa; Chordata; Mammalia; Primates; Hominidae. The record is from RNAcentral.
AAACUUUGAUUGGCAGUUGCAGCUGCUGUGUGCCCCAUCUGAUUCCCAAGCCUCAUUCUCUCUCAAAAUUCAGGUGUCAGCAAACCCAUUCUUCCCCACACCCCAGCUAACUAUGUGAAUGUGCAGGCAAUUUCACACAGAGGAUAGGACAAACUUCCUAUGAGUGUCCAGGACGUGCAAUCCCUGGUAUAAAAUAAGUUGAAAUCCAGUUGACUCAUCAUUCUAUGAAGGUGUUCUGAGCACCAUGCUGGUCAUUCCACAGAUUGGCAAAUGUGGCUUCUGUGAACUCAUCUCCCCUGGAACUUAGCAGCACAAGCGAU